Molecule: microRNA precursor, 151 nt
Filed under: Lotus japonicus
Lineage: Eukaryota; Viridiplantae; Streptophyta; Magnoliopsida; Fabales; Fabaceae
Description: miR168 stem-loop (lja-MIR168)
Gene: lja-MIR168
Rfam family: MIR168 microRNA precursor family
Source: miRBase by way of RNAcentral
GCUUCGCGGUCUCUAAUUCGCUUGGUGCAGGUCGGGAACCGCUGCUGCUUCUGCCGUUUUCGCGCGUAAUCACUCACCGGAGGAGCGGUUACCGCCGCCGGUUGGAUCGGAUCCCGCCUUGCAUCAACUGAAUCGGAACCCGCCUUGAAGC